CACGAACCGGACAAACGUUAUUCGGAAUCACUGGGCUUAAAGGGUGCGUAGGCGGCUAUGUAGGUGGGGUGUGAAAUCCCUCGGCUCAACCGAGGAACUGCGCUCCAAACCACAUAGCUUGAGGGAGAUAGAGGUAAGCGGAACAGAUGGUGGAGCGGUGAAAUGCAUUGAUAUCAUCUGGAACACCGGUGGCGAAAGCGGCUUACUGGAUCUCUUCUGACGCUGAGGUACGAAAGCUGGGGGAGCGAACGGG
This 253-nucleotide unclassified non-coding RNA is filed under the name uncultured Pirellulaceae bacterium. RNAcentral describes it as "contains 16S-23S intergenic spacer region". It matches the Rfam family "Bacterial small subunit ribosomal RNA", at positions 524 to 776 of the family's 1533-position model. Lineage: Bacteria; Pseudomonadati; Planctomycetota; Planctomycetia; Pirellulales; Pirellulaceae. The record is from RNAcentral.